RNAcentral lists this ribosomal RNA (440 nucleotides) under uncultured bacterium. RNAcentral's name for it is "partial 16S ribosomal RNA". It matches the Rfam family "Bacterial small subunit ribosomal RNA", at positions 338 to 795 of the family's 1533-position model. The record is from RNAcentral.
CCUACGGGUGGCAGCAGUGGGGAAUAUUGCACAAUGGGGGAAACCCUGAUGCAGCAACGCCGCGUGAGUGAAGAAGUAUCUCGGUAUGUAAAGCUCUAUCAGCAGGGAAGAAAAUGACGGUACCUGACUAAGAAGCCCCGGCUAACUACGUGCCAGCAGCCGCGGUAAUACGUAGGGGGCAAGCGUUAUCCGGAUUUACUGGGUGUAAAGGGAGCGUAGACGGUGUGGCAAGUCUGAAGUGAAAGCCCGGGGCUCAACCCCGGGACUGCUUUGGAAACUGUCAUGCUGGAGGGCUGGAGAGGUAAGCGGAAUGCCUAGUGUAGCGGUGAAAUGCGUAGAUAGUAGGAGGAACACCAGUGGCGAAGGCGGCUUACUGGACAGUAACUGACGUUGAGGCUCGAAAGCGUGGGGAGCAAACAGGAUUAGAUACCCGGGUAGUC